CCUACGGGAGGCAGCAGUGAGGAAUAUUGGUCAAUGGGCGGAAGCCUGAACCAGCCAAGUCGCGUGAGGGAUUAAGGCCCUGCGGGUCGUAAACCUCUUUUGCCGGGGAGCAGUGGUCCGGACGCGUCCGGACCGGGAGAGUCCCCGGAGAAAAAGCAUCUGCUAACUCCGUGCCAGCCGCCGCGGUACUACGGAGGAUGCGAGCGUUAUCCGGAUUUAUUGGGUGUAAAGGGUGCGUAGACGGAAGAACAAGUUGGUUGUGAAAUCCCUCGGCUCAACUUAGGAACUGCAACCAAAACUAUUCUCCUUGAGUGUCGGAGAGGAAAGUGGAAUUCCUAGUGUAGCGGUGAAAUGCGUAGAUAUUAGGAGGAACACCAGUGGCGAAGGCGACUUUCUGGACGAUAACUGACGUUGAGGCACGAAAGUGUGGGGAGCAAACAGGAUUAGAUACCCUAGUAGUC
RNAcentral lists this ribosomal RNA (461 nucleotides) under uncultured bacterium. RNAcentral describes it as "partial 16S ribosomal RNA". It matches the Rfam family "Bacterial small subunit ribosomal RNA", at positions 338 to 795 of the family's 1533-position model. The record is from RNAcentral.